UUAGUACGCAGUUACAGCUGCGCCAUAGUUCUCCGCGCUGCUGAAGUUUCUCCGGUCGCGUUUGAAACUUACCAAAUAGAAGAAUCGUACGAAUCUCUCGCAUGUUUAGUCCGGUUUCCAGUUUUGAUUGAGCAAGAACUCGGGAAGUAGUGCUCAGUUUGAUCUAAAAAUUUUGAAACAGUGCUUAACAAUCAGUAGCUACUGAAAGACCUAUAUCAUUGAAAAUUUCGUGAAUUCUGUAACUCGGAAAUUUUUCCAUAAGCAGUGGUGAACAAUGUUUUUACCGUGACCAUCAUGUUUUGAUGCUCCCGAUCUGCCCGCGGAGUGAGAGGUGUAAUCUAGAUUUUGGUUUAAAAUUAUACUUCGUUGCCAUUUCAAGGACGGAUUUAUUGAUAUAUUUAGAGUACGAUUUUACAAUUUCACUCGAUUUCUGACUUAAUAUUUUCGCAUUUCGGAUUUAUACCUGACAGACGACGGAGUUGCCUAGUUCUUCGCGAUACGGUUCAACUUUUAACUACUACGACUACGCCGUGCUGCAAAAAAUCGUAAACAGGCUUUCAAUCAGUCACCACGUCGGCUACUUCGUUGCAGUACGCAUUCAACUUCCAACCACGAAGGGCAGGAGUUAUACAUAGCAUCGCUCAAUUCGUUCAUAGGAACCCGGAAAUGCUGCCGCCGUAGCUGCCGUUUGCCAGGACUCCCCCUGUUCAUCAGGGGGAGUCCACUGACCCGUCCCCUGGGACAGCGCGGCCUCCCACCGCCCCCGGGUCCCAGGGGA
Athalia rosae (coleseed sawfly) is the source of this 778-nucleotide long non-coding RNA. RefSeq lists it as uncharacterized. The transcript is spliced from 3 exons. Lineage: Eukaryota; Metazoa; Arthropoda; Insecta; Hymenoptera; Athaliidae. The record is from RefSeq and is a predicted model, not a curated record.